AUUGAACGCUGGCGGAAUGCUUUACACAUGCAAGUCGAACGGCAGCACGGGGCAACCUGGUGGCGAGUGGCGAACGGGUGAGUAAUACAUCGGAACGUGCCCAAUCGUGGGGGAUAACGUAGCGAAAGUUACGCUAAUACCGCAUACGAUCUACGGAUGAAAGCGGGGGAUCGCAAGACCUCGCGCGAGUGGAGCGGCCGAUGUCAGAUUAGGUAGUUGGUGGGGUAAAGGCUCACCAAGCCAACGAUCUGUAGCUGGUCUGAGAGGACGACCAGCCACACUGGAACUGAGACACGGUCCAGACUCCUACGGGAGGCAGCAGUGGGGAAUUUUGGACAAUGGGCGCAAGCCUGAUCCAGCCAUUCCGCGUGCAGGAUGAAGGCCUUCGGUUGU
This 393-nucleotide ribosomal RNA is filed under the name uncultured bacterium. RNAcentral describes it as "bacterial SSU rRNA". It matches the Rfam family "Bacterial small subunit ribosomal RNA", at positions 30 to 426 of the family's 1533-position model. The record is from RNAcentral.